UACGGGGGGGGGCAAGCGUUGUUCGGAAUUACUGGGCGUAAAGGGCGUGUAGGCGGCCAACUAAGUCCGACGUGAAAUCCCCAGGCUUAACCUGGGAACUGCGUCGGAUACUGGAUGGCUUGAAUCCGGGAGAGGGAUGCAGAAUUCCAGGUGUAGCGGUGAAAUGCGUAGAUAUCAGGAGGAACACCUAUUGCGAAGGCAGCUCGCUGGGACGUAACUGACGCUGAGACGCGAAAGCGUGGGGAGCAAACAGG
Molecule: ribosomal RNA, 254 nt
Filed under: uncultured bacterium
Lineage: Bacteria
Description: partial 16S ribosomal RNA
Rfam family: Bacterial small subunit ribosomal RNA
Source: RNAcentral